CUUUGAACUCGCUUCACCUCUCUGCACCUUGGUGUCAGGCCCUUUGGAACGGGCUGGGAAUGAAUGAUUGGCUCUCUGGAGGGAAGAUCAGGAGACAGAAGUCCCAUAAAGGAGUCCUUGUGGAGAGAAAACACAGCUGGUGCCCAAUUAGAGAGGUGAUUGGGACUGAUCCCUGGCAGAGCUCUUAAUGAAGCUGGGCGGCAAACUGCAGGAGAGACUGUGCUGGAACCGAGGUGGGCUAUGCACUGGGGGUAAAGGCCAUGGAGUGGAACAGUAAGUUUUCUUCAAAAGCUGAAAGAAGCGGUUGGAUUCUAUCUCCUGACCAUGGGGGCAGAAGGAGUGACAGACCAGCAAAGGUUGAAUAUUCAUUCAUUCACUGAUUCAUUCCUGGGGGAAAGGGGUCUGGGACCUUGUGUCUUAAGGAUGAGACCUGAAGAGUCAGCCAAGCCAGGCUAUUUUUCAUUCUCAGAGGGAAGCGAGAGGAGACCAGAGAGGAUCACAGAGGGAAGCUUCAGAGAAGCAGGGCUUCCCUUGGGGAAUCCCAUCCGUCCACUCUCCUGGCUACGUGAGCAAUUGACACACAGCUUCCCCCAACUCCAGGUGGCUUUUCCUGGAACUCCAGACAGACAGUGAUGUUUCUUCUCCCCAGACAGCAUCCUCAGCAGCCACCACUGACUCAGCCUCCCCACCCACUCCAUGGGUGGAGUAGGCAGCAGCCCAGUCCCAGGGAUUGAAGUUUAGAUGGCACCAGGGUGAGGCUGCAGACAUCUGCAGACAUAAGACCUUUGGUUUCUCCCAAACCAUGAGACAUUUGCAACCUCUGUCAUUCACCUGUCAAUUACCCCAUCUUCCAGCGCCAAACCCAAACACCUGUCAGUUCCCUCUGUGGGAGGGCAGACUUGUAAAGUCUUGGGGCAGAAC
Fukomys damarensis (Damara mole-rat) is the source of this 921-nucleotide long non-coding RNA. RefSeq lists it as uncharacterized. Lineage: Eukaryota; Metazoa; Chordata; Mammalia; Rodentia; Bathyergidae. The transcript has 4 exons. The record is from RefSeq and is a predicted model, not a curated record.